AAGUCGUAACAAGGUUUCCGUAGGUGAACCUGCGGAAGGAUCAUUAGUGGAAAGUUUACUUUACACUUAAAACAAACAAUUGUGAACCAAUCAUUAGAACAGGUAUACCUCUAGUCGGGUCCGAAAGGAAAUGACAAGAGCUGGGGCCGUAGGAUUAUCGAGGACAAGCAAUUGUCUUUGUAAUCAAUAGGGGGGUAUGGAAGGUGAGCUCUUAAGUGGGCGGUGGAAAUAUCUAUUAAACUCUAUUGGUUCCUACAGUCAGAAGGUGUAUUACUAAAUAGUUGAUCUUCGGAUUGACUGCCUAAGUGGUACCGGUAUAUCGUACGCUAAUUCGAUUUUAACCCCGUGAGUGACGCAUGCUAGUUUUUAUUAUUGCCUAAAAAACCCUCAUUAUUUAUAAUGAAAAAUACAACCUUUAACAAUGGAUCUCUAGGCUCCU
Molecule: unclassified non-coding RNA, 439 nt
Filed under: fungal sp.
Lineage: Eukaryota; Fungi
Description: partial internal transcribed spacer region
Rfam family: Eukaryotic small subunit ribosomal RNA (bases 1-46)
Source: RNAcentral